This 248-nucleotide ribosomal RNA is filed under the name uncultured bacterium. RNAcentral's name for it is "partial 16S ribosomal RNA". It matches the Rfam family "Bacterial small subunit ribosomal RNA", at positions 523 to 769 of the family's 1533-position model. The record is from RNAcentral.
AGACGAGGGAUCCUAGCGUUGUUCGGAAUUAUUGGGCGUAAAGCGGGUGUAGGUGGCUAUGUAAGUUCAAGUGUGAAAGCCUGGGGCUCAACCCCAGAAGUGCAUUUGAUACUGCGUAGCUUGAGUGCUAGAGAGGAUAGUAGAAUUGUUGGUGUAGUGGUGAAAUACGUAGAUAUCAACAGGAAUACCGGUGGCGAAGGCGACUCACUGGCACAAUACUGACGCUGAGGUGCGAAAGCGUGGGGAUC